Molecule: transfer RNA, 71 nt
Filed under: Chelonia mydas (Green sea turtle)
Lineage: Eukaryota; Metazoa; Chordata; Testudines; Cheloniidae
Rfam family: tRNA
About the family: Transfer RNA (tRNA) molecules are approximately 80 nucleotides in length. Their secondary structure includes four short double-helical elements and three loops (D, anti-codon, and T loops).
Source: Rfam by way of RNAcentral
GCCCGGCUAGCUCAGUUGGUAGAGCAUCAUACUCCUAAAGUGAAGGUCCGGGAUUUGAGCCCGUCUGGGCA